UAAGGAAUAUUGGGCAAUGGACGCAAGUCUGACCCAGCCAUGCCGCGUGCAGGAUGAAGGCCCUUUGGGUUGUAAACUGCUUUUAUCUGGGAAGAAAUCUUCUGUUUCUACGGAAGUUGACGGUACCAGAGGAAUAAGCACCGGCUAACUCCGUGCCAGCAGCCGCGGUAAUACGGAGGGUGCAAGCGUUAUCCGGAUUCACUGGGUUUAAAGGGUGCGUAGGCGGGUUUUUAAGUCAGCGGUGAAAGCUCCGAGCUCAACUCGGAAAUUGCCGUUGAUACUAUUAAUCUUGAAUUUAGUUGAGGUGGGCGGAAUGUGUAGUGUAGCGGUGAAAUGCUUAGAUAUUACACAGAACACCUAUUGCGAAGGCAGCUCGCUAAACUAAUAUUGACGCUGAGGCACGAAAGCGUGGGGAUCAAACAGG
This 424-nucleotide ribosomal RNA is filed under the name uncultured bacterium. RNAcentral's name for it is "bacterial SSU rRNA". It matches the Rfam family "Bacterial small subunit ribosomal RNA", at positions 355 to 776 of the family's 1533-position model. The record is from RNAcentral.